This is a long non-coding RNA of Benincasa hispida (wax gourd), 2369 nucleotides long. RefSeq lists it as uncharacterized. Lineage: Eukaryota; Viridiplantae; Streptophyta; Magnoliopsida; Cucurbitales; Cucurbitaceae. The record is from RefSeq and is a predicted model, not a curated record.
UUCACCUCCUCUUCUGACUAUCCGAUUGAGGUUGAGAAACUGAGCUGUGAUGGAAUUUGGUACCUGACAGUCGGCACAACUCUUGCCAAAAAUGAUUCACAAACUCAUUGUCUUGGUCCGUAACAAUGGACUUCGGCACCCUGUACAGUUUAAUCAUUUCUUUCUAACAUGUAUCAACUUCAAUGCCAGCAUUUAAAGGGUGUCUCAAUUGUAAGAAAUGAACAUACUCCACAAAUCGGUAUGCUUCCGCAAACGUUUCCUGUUUAAUAGCUAAAAAUCUUCUAUCGACUGAUCCCUCUCUUAAAGAUUGGAAUCGGGCCUUCAUCCUUUUCUUCAAGACUUGCCAAUCUUCAAACGACUCUCUGUCUACUUCCGACAGGUACCAGUUUAACACGAUGUCGUCAAAAUUCUCAACUGCCACCGUCAUCUUCUCAAAUUCACUCAACUUGUGAACUUGAAAAUAGCGAUCUUCUUUGUAUAGCCACGCGUCUAGAUUUCUUCCGCUAAACAUCGACAUUUCCACUUUCUUGAAUUCACUCCGGUAGCCGUUUGCUUCUUCACCGGGUGCCUUCACCAAACCAUUUGUUCCGCACAUUUUUUUGGCAUUCGAUCCUUCUGCCUCUUCCGUCACCUUUGCCUUUUCUUUGACCAUUUUCAUAACAUAAGAAACGAACAUUUUUUUUUAUGUUUCUCUACCUGCAAUUCCAAUUUUUCAAUGAUCUUCGCUACCGACGCCAACUUCUCCUCUAUGGUUAACACUUUCUAUAUUUCGACUUUAAAUUCAAAGGUUUUUUGUUCUAGUAAUUCCAGUUUUUUUUUCGAAAUCUUUCUGAACCAUGCUUGCCCAGGUGUUUGCUCUGAUAUCAAUUUGUUAGGAUACUGAUUCUUGAAAUCUUUACUAUUGAAACGUUUUGAUACAAUCUUUCGAAAAAAAGAACUAAACGAUGAACAACUUCUUUAUUAAACAAUAAGAGUCAAACAAUACUAAUCGAUCGCUUACAGAUGAUACUCGAUCAUUUACUCAACGAUAAACGAUCUUUACAAUCUAUUGCACGAUCACUCAGUCUUGCUAAACGAUCGCUUACUAAAUCCUCCCCGGUCGCUCACAAACUCCUACACGAUCGCUUACCAAUAUCUAUACGAUCACCUAUCUUUUGCAUACGAUCGCCUACCAAUUGCUACACGAUCGCUGAGCUUUACUAUAUAAUCGUCUAGUAGAAGUAGACGAUGAGCGGCACACUACGAUGGCUUCUCCAUGACAACGUUUCUCGAACUCCCACUCUCGAGAGCUCUCCCUCCUCACUUUUGAUAUUCAGACUUUGCUACUUCUCCUUCUAUUUCCUUCUUCUUUUAAACCCCAAUUUCUCCCAAUGGAAUUGGAAGACAUUCUUAACCGAUUCAACCACCUCUCCUCUAUUCUUUCUUUCUUGAUAUGCCACAUAAUUGGGAUCCUAUUAGAUAACAAGUACAAAGUUCUUGAAAAAGAAUAUUUGAAGAUGAAGGAAUAAAUGAUAGAAAUGAAAGCAAUGAAAGAUGAAAUAAUAGAAAUGAAAGCAAUUAUGUCAUGUUUUAUAAAGAAACAGGUAAUCUUUUUUUCUUUAAAUCACUUACAUUCAUUUUUUUUCUUAUAAUUAGUUAACUUUUUUGUUUCAUAUGAAAUUAUCAUAGGUUGAACCAAGUGAGGAACUUUCAAAUGCUACUGUAAGUGUACCUAAGGCAACAAAUAUUCCUUCAACUUUUCUAAUAUCAUCUCCAUCGGUAAAUUUAUUUGUAAUGUGAUGAGAAUUAUUCUUGAUUUCAUUAUUAUUUUAUUCUAAUAUCUCAUAUUUUCCUUUUCAUAGAGUGUCAAUAAAAAUAUUCAAAUUAACUACAAGUUAUUAGAUUAGUAUGGCUGAGGAGAGAUUAUUGCAGAAGGACGAUAGUCUUCUAAUGAUCCAGCUACUCUUGUUCAUCACACCUAUUGGUCCACAUGCAGUUAGAGUAUGGGUUGAUGUAUCAAAGAAACCUGACGCAUAUUUGUGGAGGCCUACAUUUGAGAUGACAUGUAUUGAAGAAGCUUUGGACAGUACAGUUGCAUGCCAUCUGAUAAAUUGAUUAUUGAUGAAUGACAUGAUGCCUUACCAGAGGAAAAGAAAACCAACGAUAAGACAGCUCAGCUACGUAUUUUUGAACACUUGGUGAAUUUUGUACACAUGGUAAAUUUUGAACACUUUGUAUUUUGAGGGCUAACUUAUGUUGUUGGUGUAGUUACUAAAUACUUUAUCUAGCUUGUGUAUCAUUUAGACACAACUUUAUUCUAGGAAAUUAUUGAAUAUUUUAUUUUGUAAUGUCAGUAGAUUAUGAAUGGAAGUUAUUAGUAUUUAUUAUGA